UGGUCACUGUCCAUGGUGGUAUUGAAUUCAAUCUUCUGGUCAAUGACAUAUUAGUUGCUACAACAAUUGAGUAUGAAAGCAGGAAAACUUGAUACAUCAUCUUUCUUUUGCAGGCAGACCCGUGUGUGUGGUCAUUGUCUAUACUGCUUUUGACUUCAUUCUUCUGGCCAAUGACAUAUCUGCUGCAUCACAAUUGAAUAUGAAGGCAGAAAAACCUGAUGCAUCUUCUUUCUUUUGACUCUUGUGUGUAGUCAUUGUGUAUGAUGUGACUGACUUCACUCUUCG
This is a long non-coding RNA of Schistocerca gregaria, 285 nucleotides long. RefSeq lists it as uncharacterized. NCBI's taxonomy places the organism in Eukaryota, Metazoa, Arthropoda, Insecta, Orthoptera, Acrididae. The record is from RefSeq and is a predicted model, not a curated record. The transcript has 3 exons.